RNAcentral lists this ribosomal RNA (467 nucleotides) under uncultured bacterium. RNAcentral's name for it is "bacterial SSU rRNA". It matches the Rfam family "Bacterial small subunit ribosomal RNA", at positions 337 to 796 of the family's 1533-position model. The record is from RNAcentral.
UCCUACGGGGCGCAGCAGUGGGGAAUUUUGCGCAAUGGACGAGAGUCUGACGCAGCAACGCCGCGUGGGUGAUGAAGGUCUUCGGACUGUAAAACCCUGUCGUCAGGGACGAAGGUGGCAGUGUUAAUAGCGCUGUUACUUGACGGUACCUGGAGAGGAAGCCCCGGCUAACUCUGUGCCAGCAGCCGCGGUAAUACAGAGGGGGCAAGCGUUAUUCGGAAUUAUUGGGCGUAAAGGGCGCGUAGGCGGUUUUUUAAGUCAGAUGUGUAAUCCCCGAGCUCAACUUGGGAACUGCAUCUGAGACUGGAAGGCUAGAGUACUGGAGAGGGUGGUGGAAUUCCUCGUGUAGCGGUGAAAUGCGUAGAGAUGAGGAGGAACACCAGUGGCGAAGGCGGCCACCUGGACAGUAACUGACGCUGAGGCGCGAAAGUGUGGGUAGCAAACAGGAUUAGAUACCCCGGUAGUCC